AGAGUUUGAUCCUGGCUCAGAUUGAACGCUGGCGGCAUGCUUUACACAUGCAAGUCGAACGGCAGCGGGGGCUUCGGCCUGCCGGCGAGUGGCGAACGGGUGAGUAAUGCAUCGGAACGUGCCCAAGUCGUGGGGGAUAACGUAUCGAAAGGUACGCUAAUACCGCAUACGUCCUGAGGGAGAAAGCGGGGGAUUCUUCGGAACCUCGCGCGAUUGGAGCGGCCGAUGUCGGAUUAGCUAGUAGGUGAGGUAAAGGCUCACCUAGGCGACGAUCCGUAGCGGGUCUGAGAGGAUGAUCCGCCACACUGGGACUGAGACACGGCCCAGACUCCUACGGGAGGCAGCAGUGGGGAAUUUUGGACAAUGGGCGCAAGCCUGAUCCAGCCAUGCCGCGUGAGUGAAGAAGGCCUUCGGGUUGUAAAGCUCUUUCGGCCGGGAAGAAAUCGUGUUCUCUAACAUAGGACAUGGAUGACGGUACCGGACUAAGAAGCACCGGCUAACUACGUGCCAGCAGCCGCGGUAAUA
RNAcentral lists this ribosomal RNA (525 nucleotides) under uncultured bacterium. Its description in RNAcentral is "bacterial SSU rRNA". It matches the Rfam family "Bacterial small subunit ribosomal RNA", at positions 8 to 525 of the family's 1533-position model. The record is from RNAcentral.